UACGUAGGGUGCAAGCGUUAAUCGGAAUUACUGGGCGUAAAGCGUGCGCAGGCGGUUUUGUAAGACCGAUGUGAAAUCCCCGGGCUUAACCUGGGAACUGCAUUGGUGACUGCAAGGCUUGAGUGUGUCAGAGGGAGGUGGAACUCCGCGUGUAGCAGUGAAAUGCGUAGAUAUGCGGAGGAACACCGAUGGCGAAGGCAGCCUCCUGGGAUAACACUGACGCUCAUGCACGAAAGCGUGGGGAGCAAACAGG
Molecule: ribosomal RNA, 253 nt
Filed under: uncultured bacterium
Lineage: Bacteria
Description: partial 16S ribosomal RNA
Rfam family: Bacterial small subunit ribosomal RNA
Source: RNAcentral